This 334-nucleotide ribosomal RNA is filed under the name uncultured soil bacterium. RNAcentral's name for it is "bacterial SSU rRNA". It matches the Rfam family "Bacterial small subunit ribosomal RNA", at positions 26 to 361 of the family's 1533-position model. The record is from RNAcentral.
AGGACGAACGCUGGCGGCGUGCUUAACACAUGCAAGUCAAGGGGGCCCAGCAAUGGGCAACCGGCGAACGGGUGCGUAACACGUGAGCAACCUACCGAACUGUGGGGGAUAGCCGGCCUAACGGCCGAGUAACUACCGCAUACGCUCUCAGUGAGGCAUUUCAUUGAGAGGAAACCUACGGGACAGAUCGGAGGGCUCGCGCCUAUCAGCUAGUGCGAGGUAACGCUCACAGGCAACGGCGGUAGCUGGUCUGAGAGGAUCGGCCAGCCGACAGUUGGGACUGGAGACUACCCGGCCCAGACCUCCGUAACGGAACGGCUAGCGAGGUAGGGAA